This is an RNA transcript of Chelmon rostratus (copperband butterflyfish), 1876 nucleotides long. It is a transcript of the gene named Fc receptor-like protein 5, with no coding region annotated. The transcript has 13 exons. The record is from RefSeq and is a predicted model, not a curated record. NCBI's taxonomy places the organism in Eukaryota, Metazoa, Chordata, Actinopteri, Chaetodontiformes, Chaetodontidae.
GUGUACACAGUGCCUCAGCCCUCAGUUCCAAACUGUCAGAACUCCUGCAUUACACAGCAUAGUGUGAUUGUAUUCAAGGCAUCCGUUUUUCUUUAAGAAUGUUUGCGUCCAUCUUUGUGGUCUUACUGGGGUUGUGCUACUGUAGCAAGGCGAGCAGUCAGUCAUUUCUGGGUGUUCCUCGACUAUUUGGCCCAUCUGAGGCUUUGGUGAAAGAUGUUGUAGAGUUUCAUUGUCAACUGCUGACCUACCCAAAUAAUGAAUCCAUCCUGCUGCAGUUAUUCAAAGAGGGUAACCAUGACAAGUUGCUGGGUGAAUACACCUCCCUGGCUGGGGAGGUUGCAUCCUUCCCCAUUAUAAUCAAACCUUACCACGAGGGGAACCUGGAGUGUGUGGCCAAAGCACAGAACAACUCAAACAUAGAGCCGACUGUCAGCAACGUACACUACCUGAAGGUUGUUGAGCCAGUGAAAGGCCCAGAGAUUGAUGUCCGCUCUGGUCCAGUGGAUUUCUUUGAGGGGGAGACACUGCAGAUGCACUGCAAGCUGACUGCUGGAAAUCAUGUCUCUUACAAGUGGCUGCUGAACGGCCAGCUCGUCUCUUGGGCUCCUCUCACCUAUGACCAUCUCUUGAUCAAUAGAACUACCUCUAAAGACAGCGGCGCCUACAUGUGCAUCGCCACCAACCGCUUCAACGAAACAGAGGUCUUCACCGCCAACAGCUCUGAAGUUGUUGUCACGGUCAAAGACCUGGUGUCAAACCCUGACAUCGCCUUCACGGUGUUGAAGGAGGAUUCCCACAUCUACUCUGCCAUGGUCACCUGUCAGUCAACAAAAGGGACUCCGCCUGUCACCUUUUCACUUUACAACGGGACAGAAUUGGUUGCCAGCGCAACAACUGAAGAGAGAAAUGCCACAUUCAAAGUUGCAUUGGUCUUGGGCCAGCACUUGGGAAGGCUCCAGUGCCAGGCAAACAAUGGAAAGUGGGUCGCACGCAGUCAGUGGAUUCCCCUAGAAGUUGUCCCGGUUGGUGGGCCUGUGACGAUGCAUUCAGACUCUGACAUUGGGGACAACUAUGCUGUGAUUGGCCUGAGGUUCUACUGCAAGGCGGCCAAGGGAUCUCUCCCACGGUACCAGUGGUUCCUCAACAAAACCCUUCUACAUGACCGAGGAAGCUUCUACUAUGUGGUCAACCAGCCUCCAGAACAGUCUGUACUGCUGCUGUCUGUAGGGAGGAGCAGCACUGGGAUGUACCACUGUGAAGUGUCAGACAGCUUUGACAACACCACCGCCAUCAGCAGCAAAAGGCGCUACUUGGAUAAAGACGUGCUGAAUCGUCUCCCCGUCCUGGUGGUGGCGAUUGUCUUCGGAUGUUUCACAGUCGUGGUUCUCCUGGUCUCCAUCUGUUGUGGGAUUGGAGUGGUGUUCAGGCAAAGGCAGUAUGGAGAGAAGUCUCUCUUGACUGACAGUAAACAUGUGGACGUGUGGAGAGAAGGGGCAAGGCUUUGUGCUGGGGAUGUGCUUAUGUGGUGGAUUGAUUGGACCCACUGGACCAACAGGUCAUAUCUUUAACCUCUAUUGGUGACCAAGGAACUGAAGCAACAACUGAUCUCCGAUGCAGCUCACAGUCACAGUUUUACAACGACAGCAGACGCCCAGCUGGCUCGAUCUGGAAAUAUCUUGCGCCGUACGUUGUUGUCUCACAGCUCUGUCCUCUCAGUGAGCAGUUCAACAUGUGAAUGUGGAGCAAGAAAAACAGUAAAAAGUUGGGCUUGGAGAUGGACAGCAUGGUGGUUGCGUAUGAAGGCGAGCUGGAUUUGUCAGAGUACCAUGAGGAUGCUGAUGUGGUGAAGACAGCCAGAGGUGGCGAAUUUGAUCAG